UACGAAGUGUGCAAGCGUUAAUCGGAAUUACUGGGCGUAAAGCGCGCGUAGGUGGUUCGUUAAGUUAGGAGUGAAAGCCCCGGGCUCAACCUGGGAAUUGCUUCUAAAACUGGCGAGCUAGAGUAUGGUAGAGGGUGGUGGAAUUUCCUGUGUAGCGGUGGAAUGCGUAGAUAUAGGAAGGAACAUCAGUGGCGAAGGCGACCACCUGGACUGAUACUGACACUGAGGUGCGAAAGCGUGGGGAGCAAACAGGAUUAGAUACCCCCGUAGUCCCU
Molecule: ribosomal RNA, 275 nt
Filed under: uncultured prokaryote
Description: partial 16S ribosomal RNA
Rfam family: Bacterial small subunit ribosomal RNA
Source: RNAcentral